Molecule: long non-coding RNA, 1514 nt
Filed under: Medicago truncatula (barrel medic)
Lineage: Eukaryota; Viridiplantae; Streptophyta; Magnoliopsida; Fabales; Fabaceae
Description: long non-coding RNA (MTRU_LNC000363)
Source: RNAcentral
AACGCACAUUACAACGAACGAUUCUUGAAAUGAAAAUCAUGGCAAAAUUAGCAUAUAUUUCAAGAAUGGCCAAGAGAGUUUAAGCAUGUUAUUCAUGUUAUUCGGGUAACAAUGAACUAAGAGUGGGGAUAAACAUAGAGCCUCGACUAGAUUGUCGAGAACUAGAAUGCUAGCAAGAGUACUAAAGAUGUGUUUGGAAUAGCGGUGGGGGGAGAAAAAAAGCCCGUCUAGCUUAAAGCUGAGAUUUUCAGCUUCACAAAAUUCACGGUAACACUACAUUGGGAAGCGAGAAUCCUACUCCAAACGCCAAGCCAAACAUGCUAUAAGUAUGUUAAGACGUGAAGUGAUUAAUGUAGUCUCUUCACACGUGAACAAGAAUGAUCAAGUAAGUAUUUUACCGCUAAUCGAGUAGAUCACGGACCCGUGGUAAAUAAGCAAGCAUGUUUAGGUUAAACCUUUUUAUGUAUGUAUAAGAUCAAAACUUUAAGCAAGAUGUAGGUGUCGUGUCUCUUGCUAUCCACGCUAGGGGGAUACAAGAGGUUCACACCAGGGGAACGGGAUAAGCUCCGCAAGGGGGCUCUGCAUGCACGACACUGAGGGAGUCCGAUGUACCUUAGCUAGGAAUUCAUCGGUCAUGUAUGAGAUUGUACUCGGGGUUACUCCAUCCGAUACACUCCGUAAAAUGAACUCAGUUAAUACUGUUUGUUCAACGCAGUCCGAUGUACCUUAGCUAGGAAUUCAUCGGUCAUGUAUGAGAUUGUACUCGGGGUUACUCCAUCCGAUACACUCCGUAAAAUGAACUCAGUUAAUACUGUUUGUUCAACGCAGUCCGAUGUACCUUAGCUAGGAAUUCAUCGGUCAUGUAUGAGAUAACCUCUAACAUAAUGAAUGACCAUGAUAUGAUAUGAUUACGAUUAUGAUAAGUUGUGUUAUGACAAUAAUAUGUACAAGCUCUUGUAGUAGAACAAGACUAUGAAGAUACACUAUCGACGGUCUUAGUAACUCCUCGAUCGUCCAGUUUAGGAACAUGUCAUGAAUAAGUUACGUUUAGAUCUUGAUGUGUUUAGCGUAUCUCGACAAAGCAGUCCUAGGUUCCCUUGACCGCCAUGACAUGUAGAAUGCAAGACAAGCCUUAUGACUUAUGAUACAAAGAACCUUAUGACGGCUCUAGUGUGCACGACCGUCAGGGUAAACAAGCUCCACACACGUAUAAUCAACCAUCACGUUGUAUUGUAGACACGUGGUGACCCUAGGUUUUCCCCGAGGUUACCUAUAGCCUAGGAUUAGGUAGAACUCACUAAGACAUUGUGUCUCAUCCCAAUCCUUAUUUGUUUCAGAUCAGCAGGUUGAUAUGGCAGGAUUUAGCAAGCUUGUAGCCAAAUGGAUAUUCAGCAAGUGCUCGUUCGUACCCGCUGCUGGAUGAUAUGGACUUUAAAGAUGUAUCUUUCUAUGUUUUGGACGAGUAGUAUUGUAUUGAUGACUGUACGACCGCGUAUUGUUGUAUAUAAUAUUCA